GGAAUAUUUGUUAUGCCCUACCUUAUUGAUACAUAGAUAUCCAAAUAAAAAAUUAACCUUUCUAAGUUUCAAUGUUCUCCAUUGUGAUUGCGACCAACCAUACAAGUAGUUGAAAGUGAUUAAGAGCGCAUUGUUGCUUUGCUUCACGUUUUCUUUUACUGAAUAACUGUUUCCAGAAUUUACUCAACUUUUGAAUUAUAUGCAUAGCAGA
RNAcentral lists this long non-coding RNA (211 nucleotides) under Nicotiana benthamiana. RNAcentral describes it as "long non-coding RNA (NBEN_LNC034721)". Lineage: Eukaryota; Viridiplantae; Streptophyta; Magnoliopsida; Solanales; Solanaceae. The record is from RNAcentral.